GCAAGACGAUGAGGGAGAACGAGGAGAGCAUGUAUGGAAAGAAGAUGGAUGGAUGGGUAGAUAGAGAGGUAGGUAGACAGGCAGCCCAGUCAGAAAGAAGCAGAGAGGGAAUGAGCGCAGAUAAACAGAAACUGAAAAUAGUGAGGUGCAGAGUCUCUGCUGUGUGCUGUAAUGACGCCGGUGGGAGGUGAUUACCGCGGAGAGAAUGAAACCCAGGUCGUCCCUGCUUAUCAGCAGAAAGCCUCAUACAUAUACUGUAUGUCAGAGCUUUCUGGAAAAUUUCUGAAAUGAAGAAGCGGUUGUACUGCAUGAGAAAAGAUGAUUUACAUUUUUAUUUACAUUUUGUCAAAGUUAUAGCUCUAAACUUUCUUCUGAGAGGGGGGCUGGCAUAGAAGCUCUACAGGUGUAUCCAAAAAUAAUUCGUUUUGGGUUGUUUCUCAUCUUUCCCUCCAUAGAUUUAUCUGUGAGUGAAGGUCCUUUCACACGGGGACCAUUUUUUGUUGUGCGAUUAUUUCGGAUGUCAAUAUUUUUUUUCGAAUCCGUAUCCUGUCAAUACAAGCGUUCACAUCAGCGACGUUUUCCCGUCCUGCGAUAUUGCGGCAUUUAUUUUUUCGUAUCACGAUCAAUUUUUCUAAAGUUUCGCAUACUCUGUGUCCACUUCUAACCAAUCAGGUAGCGUGUUGUUGCGACGUCAGAUUCACUGGUAUAUCCAACAUGGCCGACCGGCUGAUUGUUUACGUGUCAGAGAACAGAGCUUUUUGAUAAAAGACACAAAUAUUACAAAGAUAACGACCUGAAGGACAACUUGUGGAGAGUCAUAGCGUCGGAUUUCUCACAUGACGAUGGUUUGUGUUCUUUAACAGUUUGCUAAACGUCUUUCUUUAACUUUCAUCUGUGCUAAGUAACUUUAGCAUGUGAGCUAACCUGUUCAGAUACAACAUACCACAUGUAUUGUUACGUUUUGACAUUUUAUUAUGACGUUUCCAGCUUUUCUAGACAAUCAGAGGUGAAGAAGGUGGGACUUUCCCGAGGAUUUUGUAAUUUCGUGUUCUAUAUUUGCGUCGGCCCCGGUGUGUAGGGAACUUGAGUUGGUUGGCUAAUCAACUACAAUAAUAUCAUAUUCAGUAAACCAUUUAAGCCUAUAAACAGGCCCCAAAAGUACUGGAUAGAAAACCUAAUAUGUACCAUCACUGUCUGAUACUGAAGAAAUUUGAGCGACUAGUUUUGACAACAUAAUAAAAUGCAGACUUCCAACAAACUUCCAACAGACUCAAGUGAGAUGCAGUGGGUCUCCAGUUGGAUGGCUAAAAUUUUUAUUCUCUCUCUGGACUGUUUGAUGACAACAAGAAUAUCUAAGAUAACAUGGUGGUGGAAGGCAAUUUAACUGAGGUUUGCAUUUGUGCAAAAAUCUGAACAACAGCCAAAUUGGACCAGAAUCCCUCCUGAGGGUUUCUGUGAUCAAACAUACUAGUCACUUAGUAAGAGAGAUAAGAGGAUUAAUAUCAGUCAAGUGUAGGUAAUGUGACAGCCAUGGUGGGAUAUUUUACAUGCUACAUUUGCAAGAUACAGUGAUUCGGUUUUUCUAGGCAAGACACAAGUUUCUGACUGUGACUCACUCUGAAGACAUCUGAGAACCAUCAAUGAGCUAUUUGGUGUCAUGUAACAGGAAAAACAGGAGUUGAUUGGAAGGGAGGAUGUUUAUUUGUUUAUGCAGACCACCUACAGGAGGAAUUGAAAUGAAUCUGAGAGAUCAAAAUCAGCUGCUUAUGAUUAUAACAGCUGUGUUUGCGGUGAAUUUGCAUUCAGUUCUCUCUCAAAACAACAACAAAAGCACAGGUUAUUUCUGUUGGGUUAUAUUUCGGGGUUAUAUUUCAGAGCCAUAAACAUUUAUUGGGUUAUAGGGAUUUUAUUUUAACCCAAUUUGUGUUUUUUUUCCAACUUGGUUAAUAUUUAUGGGUUAUUUUUCUGAGAGUAAUCAUGAAAUUAGGUAAGAAUUUAAACCGUAUUGCAAUAUUUGCCACAAAAAAAAAAAAUAAAAAUAAUCAAAUUCAAAUGGAUUUUGGUAGCAUGUAUGACUGAGUCCCAUGGUAGACACAUACUGCGAUUUAAACGACAAAAUGUUGUCUAUUGUGCAUAAGUCUGAUAAUGGCACCAUGAGUCAAAAAGUUGGAUCAGACGUUACUAUCUAGAGCACAUUGGCCCUCAGUUUAUCCUCUUCCUACAUCGUGCAGCCCUCCGCGUAGCCUCGGCGCAGGGUUGAAUGAAGCACUGACUCCGACUCUAGAAGUGAAUGCUUUGUGACUGUAGAAGCUCCUAAACUGCACAGAAAGCCUUCAUAGGCAACUUGUAACAUCGGAGCAGCCACCUUAACAACAGCUGAUGUAGCACUGACACGUGAUUGGUGGACCGAGACACUGACAAAUCUUCUGCGUCGUCUGCAUUUUGCAUUUAGUGAUUGAAAAUCCCACCACUUAUUUAGACAGAAGUAGAUGGUAAACCGCAGCUCCACAUAGACUUAAUUUAACCCAAGAUUAGGAGUUGAAUAAACUUAAAGGUUGGGUUAACUUGACCCUUAAAGUGGGUUAUUGAUUCAACCCAAAACUUGGGUUAAUUUGAAUAACCCAACAAGUCGUCAGUCCCUUUUGAACCCUGUAGUUGGGUUAAAAAUACCCCAAGUUGGGUUGUUAUUAACCCAGGGGUCUUUAGUGCAUCGUUAAAAUCAAACUGUGGUUCAGGCUCCUGAGGACAUCAGACAUGUUCACAAGCUGGAUGAUUAAAUAGGAUAACCAAACGUCCUCUUUUAACCGAACAUGUCCUCUUUCUGGGGGGCUGUCUGGCCUGUCCACCCCUGUAAGGGGUUUUAUAUGAAAGUCUUGAGUUUGUGUCGCAUGGACUUACUGAGUUAGAAGCGGGUAAAAAACACUCGGCCCUACCCGAAAAGCUCUCAAAAUUUACCGUGCGCGACAUAGUGACUCCUCCCAGCGGUGGUGUCCCCUUUUUGGGGAUUCAGAAUAUGGUUACCCUAGAUUGAACUUGUUUAUUUUGGGCCCAAAAUCCUAUGAUAGGGCCGGUAUUAAGAUGAUUAAGAUGACUUUGUAGCCUGCCUGAACUAACACCAAUUUCUAUAAAAACACUAAUAGGAGUUUUUAUCACAUUGGUUGUUAUACUUUGUACUGCUGAUUGAGCCCCACAUGUUCUCAAGGCAACAAGAAGGAAAAACCACACAUCUAUAAUCUGUGCUUUUCACUCUUUUCCUUUUCUCAUCCUGUUGUCAUCCUCCCGUCCCAUUAUCUCUCUCACACCAUCUAUACCUGAGUCUCUCGUCUUUUGUUCUUGCUGCGUCUCUGUCUCACCCUGGAAGUCGAGCCUUUGAAAGCAGCUUCUCAAACACAAUCAAACGAUUUCUGACGAUCGCUGCCUGUUUCUACACACGUGUAUCUCCGCUGUAUGGUCCAGGUACCAUCAGUCUUUCUGCCCCCGUGAACAGCACUUGUUAUUCACAUUCUCAUUAUCUGUUCGUUUGAAGUGAUUCCACUGGGAAGGGAUUCCCUCUCUUCACAUUUCUAGGGUCAGAAUACAUCAAUCCCUUGUCAUGCCUGUUGGCUGUUUCCAGUUUUGCUUUCCUUUCACACAUGCAUGUACAUCUCUUUGUGUUGUUCACUUGUCAUUCAUAAUUUCUGUGGGUGGGCGGAUGUUUGGAUCCAGUUUAAUUUUACUAGGAAUCUUUUCCUCUUUGUGUUACUUUCUGGUAAGGUCUCUUGCUCUGGCAAUCUCUCUUUUCAACCCCUAAAAUCUCAUCUUUGAAAUUUUAGGUGUUGUUAUUCAUAGUUCUAACUUUGUGACCCUGACAGUUGGGAUAUUUUACUCAGUGUUUCAGUCCUAACUCAGUCAGUUGUCAAAUCACAACAAAAGAUAUCUCGAGACAGCCCAUGGUUCAAUAAGGUCCUCAGUAUUUUGGUAAAGGUUUUCAGUUGAGUCCAGCUCUGAUCGCUUAUUUUGGUAUUUUCUGUAGAAACAGUGAGGUGCCAAAACUUUUUUAAAAGUUCUUUGACAAGAAACAGACACACAGGUUUACCUGUUCAGCAGAAAGGUUACAGGGUUCGUAAGAUCCCGAAGCAUCCCCUAUCAUUUAAUCAUUGAUGUUGUUCCAUCUUUUUAGCUCUUGUCCGGGUGGUCUACCUCCUUUCGAGUGCCCGUUAUUCAGCCAGAGUUUCUGGUAUUUACUUUGUUUUCUUGCUUGUGUUGCAGUCGUGGCCAAAGGAGGAUUCAGACAAUUUCCUUUACUGUCUGGUUGGUUUCUACAGUCCGAUAUUGUAGCACGCUAACUUUGCUUGGGCUCGUGAAUGACACGGGGGAGCAGAGUCUAUCUCACAACCAAUCAAGUUGGGGGAGGCGGAGAAUGGCUUUGUUUACAGUCAGAAAGAGUGUGCCACUCAAAAAAUGUAAAAUGUUGACUACACAGACAUAACGGAACCAAAUGUCACCAAUAACUAAUAACUAUUGACCGAUAUUAAAAGCUUUUUUGUAUAUACACCACAAAAAAAGAUGCUUCCUGCUUACACCACCUUUAACUGCCCGUGGAAAAAAUGACUGAAGGCUCUUUUCAGCCUAUGAAAAAUGAGACUAUGACCAUACUCUGGUGUUGACCCACUUAGCUUUGCCAACUAAGUUUAUAUGGUGAUCAAGCAAAUUACGAGUUAGCUUCACAACACAGAAAACUUAAACUUUCAAAGCUAUAGAUCCCAUUUCCCCUUUAAAUCUGGCUUUGUGUUUCACCCCCUGACCUUUUUUUUUAUUGUUUAUUUAUUUUGGUCUUUCAAUUGAUCAAAAGCAGGACAUGAGGUUGUCCAAAAAUGGGACAUUUGUGAGGGACACAAGACACCAGCACUGUCCCACUGAACCCGGAACAACAUGGUCAAUCUAAUCUGUAUUUAUCUCUAAUAUAUGAUUCUGUGUUUUGCAUGGCCCCUGGUUCAUCCUGCUCACAGGUUUUUCUCCAUUUUUGAGCCCGUGGAAAUGCUGUCUCAGCUUAGCUAUUUGUAAAGCACCUGCUGACAAGACGGUAAAUCCAAGAGCAUUACACGGCAUCUAAAAAGCAGUGAGAGAGACAUUUGGGAAACAUAACGGGAUAAAUAACAGACACAUAACACAAGCUAAGCCACAUAACAUAAGCUAAUCUUCUCAAGACUCAAGCACUUCCCUCAAUGCAAAGGCAGCACAGUGGUAUCCAUUGCUUGUCUAAAUUUGAAAAAGAAGCUUUUAGGAAGUGCGAAUGCUCCUUUGAGAAGAAGAUGCUGCUCAUUCGAUUUUAGUUUUAACUCAAGAAGUCUGUUCCUGUCUGGUGCAAAGACGACGCUUCUUUCAGGUGCUGUAUCUUUGAGGUAAAAACUUCCCUCAAGUUUUUAGUUUAAAUGAUUUCUGUACUUUUAUUCCUUGUUGCAGAUCAGCGAACCAGCAUCACAAGCACUGAUCACUGCUAAGCUUUAUCCUAUUAACUCUAUCUCUUUCUCACUGUCUGUCAUCUUGUCUUCAUCUGUCUCAUAUCUUCUCAUUCUUUCACCUACCAUCUAAUUAUCCCGUCCUCUGUUUGUGAUUGCUGUCUCCUUACAGGCAGAGCCGCGAGCGGGCGUGAACGCUUUCUCUCGUGUGGGUAGGAGCUGGAUACUGGCGAGCUUGCUUUUGUCUGUGUGCGAAGAUAAUCGAGGGAAUGGUGGAGUCUCUCCGUACAAUACCUGAGUGGAUUAAACAAGUUCAGCCAGCUGAUCUCUCACUCUCUAACACACACACACUCCGGUACACACAAAGCAU
This 5808-nucleotide long non-coding RNA is filed under the name Xyrichtys novacula (pearly razorfish). The record is from RNAcentral. Lineage: Eukaryota; Metazoa; Chordata; Actinopteri; Labriformes; Labridae.